AGAAUCAACGCUGGCGGCGUGCCUAACACAUGCAAGUCGAACGGGAAAGUGGAGCAAUCCAUGAGUAUAGUGGCGACCGGGUGAGUAACACGUGACUAACCUACCCUUGAGUGGGGGAUAACCUCGGGAAACCGGGGCUAAUACCGCAUAAAAUCUUCGGGAUGAGAAGCUGGAGAUCAAAGGAGCAAUUCGCUUUUGGAGGGGGUCGCGGCUGAUUAGCUAGUUGGCGGGGUAACGGCCCACCAAGGCUUUGAUCGGUAUCCGGCCUGAGAGGGCGCACGGACACACUGGAACUGAAACACGGUCCAGACUCCUACGGGAGGCAGCAGUGGGGAAUUUUGCGCAAUGGGGGAAACCCUGACGCAGCAACGCCGCGUGGAGGAUGAAGUCCCUUGGGACGUAAACUCCUUUCGACCGGGAAGAUGAUGACGGUACCGGUGGAAGAAGCCCGGCUAACUCGCGCCAGCAGCCGC
RNAcentral lists this ribosomal RNA (473 nucleotides) under uncultured bacterium. Its description in RNAcentral is "SSU rRNA". It matches the Rfam family "Bacterial small subunit ribosomal RNA", at positions 26 to 518 of the family's 1533-position model. The record is from RNAcentral.